Molecule: ribosomal RNA, 501 nt
Filed under: uncultured Glomus
Lineage: Eukaryota; Fungi; Glomeromycota; Glomeromycetes; Glomerales; Glomeraceae
Description: SSU rRNA
Rfam family: Eukaryotic small subunit ribosomal RNA
Source: RNAcentral
AGCAGCCGCGGUAAUUCCGGCUCCAAUAGCGUAUAUUAAAGUUGUUGCAGUUAAAAAGCUCGUAGUUGAAUUUCGGGGUUAGUAGGUUGGUCAUGCCUCUGGUAUGUACUGGUCUCACUGAUUCCUCCUUCCUGAUGAACCUUAAUGCCAUUUAUUUGGUGUUUUGGGGAAUUUGGACUGUUACUUUGAAAAAAUUAGAGUGUUUAAAGUAAGCUAACGCUUGAAUACAUUAGCAUGGAAUAAUGAAAUAGGACGUUCGAUCCUAUUUUGUUGGUUUCUAGGAUUGACGUAAUGAUUAAUAGGGAUAGUUGGGGGCAUUAGUAUUCAAUUGUCAGAGGUGAUAUUCUUGGAUUUUAUUGAAGACUAACUACUGCGAAAGCAUUUGCCAAGGAUGUUUCAUUAAUCAAGAACGAAAGUUAGGGGAUCGAAGACGAUCAGAUACCGUCGUAGUCUUAACCAUAACUAUGCCGACUAGGGAUCGGAUGAUGUUAAUUUUAUAAU